GACGAACGCUGGCGGCGUGCUUAACACAUGCAAGUCGAACGGAAAGGCCCCCAUCUUGGUGGGGGUGCUCGAGUGGCGAACGGGUGAGUAACACGUGGGUGAUCUGCCCUGUACUUCGGGAUAAGCUUGGGAAACUGGGUCUAAUACCGGAUAGGACCAUGGUUUAGUGUCUCAUGGUGGAAAGAUUAUUGUUUUGGUGCAGGAUGAGCUCGCGGCCUAUCAGCUUGUUGGUGGGGUAAUGGCCUACCAAGGCGUCGACGGGUAGCCGGCCUGAGAGGGUGGACGGCAACAUUGGGACUGAGAUACGGCCCAGACUCCUACGGGAGGCAGCAGUGGGGAAUAUUGCACAAUGGGCGCAAGCCUGAUGCAGCGACGCCGCGUGGGGGAUGACGGCCUUCGGGUUGUAAACUCCUUUCGUUAGGGACGAAGCCACGCUUGUUGGGUGUGGUGACGGUACCUUUGUUAAGAAGCACCGGCUAACUACGUG
RNAcentral lists this ribosomal RNA (487 nucleotides) under uncultured bacterium. Its description in RNAcentral is "partial 16S ribosomal RNA". It matches the Rfam family "Bacterial small subunit ribosomal RNA", at positions 28 to 507 of the family's 1533-position model. The record is from RNAcentral.